UGUUCUUUUUCAGUACCUUCUGUACCAGAAAACUUUGUGUUUAACGUGCAAGACAUCAAAACAACCGAAGCUGUGUUUGUUUGGAGUGAGUUGAAUGACUGGCUUAAAUCAGGAUUUGAACUUAUAAUUAAAUACUAUUUUGAUGAUUCAGAACAACAUUUUGAGCGCUUGCCUCUAAAUACAACACGCACAACAAUUGUGCAAUUGUCUCCUGGUCGCCUCUAUAGGGUUUUACUAUCAGCAAGGAGCCCCAGAGGGGCACAGACUAACUUAAGUCCAGUUCUGAUGGUAGAGACAAGGCCAUUACAUUCUCACAGUUUAGAGGCUACACAUGUAUCAUCAACAGAAAUCUAUUUACAGUGGGACCCUCCAGAGAACUCCUCCAAUGCAUCUUUUCAUCACUAUCUUGUCACUAUUUUGGACACUGAAGUGAACACAUCGGAGAAAUUACCAGUUCAGAAAAGCACCACUUCAAUGGUAAUUAGAAACAUCAAGCCGUAUCAUCAGUACAAGAUAUAUUUACAGAGUGUAGCAGAAAAGGGAUCUCUAAGCUGCAGUGAGAAGCCUAUAUUAAUUACAACAGCUGUCAGUCCACCUAGCAAUGUUGUUAUUCAUCCCGAGGAUGUGCAAGAAGAGAGUGUAAUUCUUCACUGGAAGGUACCACAAGAGGGCCUUGGAUCCUACAUUCAAGUGAAACCUACUACAGAUGUGGAUGAAACUGUAAAGUUUUUAUUAAACUCCACAGAUAGAUUUAAGAUUAAUCAUCUAGUUCCUGGCAUGACUUAUGAAAUAUCAGUGGCAACUGUGAAUAAUGGAAAUAUGAGUGAACUGAAGACCAUUCAAUGCACCCUAAAGCCCAAACCAGUUCAGAUUAUUGUCCCUUAUGACAUUUCUAGUAAUUCUGUGGUUUUAUUUCUUCAAAUACCUGAUGUUGGAAUAUUUGAUGGUAUAUAUGUUACAAGCAAAGGAGGACCUAAUGCUACGCUGGCUUUAAAGAAUGAUAAUAAAGUAACAAUUGAAAACUUGAUCCCAGGCACAGAAUAUGAUUUUUAUGUUUCUACAGUAAGUAGAAACACGUUAAGCUCCGUAUAUCAC
This 1095-nucleotide long non-coding RNA is filed under the name Chrysemys picta bellii (western painted turtle). Its description in RNAcentral is "lncRNA (ENSCPBG00000000066.1)". Lineage: Eukaryota; Metazoa; Chordata; Testudines; Emydidae. The record is from RNAcentral.